UGCAGCUAUCCCCCACCAUCUCGUUCUAACCCUUCGGAAAUAAGGGGUGGUUCCCCAAGAAUCCUCUCGAUUACAUUUCGAGUUGGGGCUCGGAUCGCGAACUAUUCAGUUUCUGUUCGUCCUUCGAAGCGAAAGGUUGUCCUCGUCCUCGUCCUCGUCCUCGUCUUCGUCUUCGUCUUCGUCAUCAUCGCCUUUCUCGUUCUUCGUGGUCGUGUCCAUUUUUAUAUUUCUGUUUCUCUCACUCUUUUAUUCUCUUUCUAUUUAUUCAUCUUUUCACAUCGUCUUCUUCAUUUUCAACAUUUUCAUUCAUCGCGUAUACACACUCAUGCAUAUAUACACAUAUAUGCACACACAUUCGUGAUUAAUCCUUGGAAUUAAUCGGACAUUCGAAUAGUUGUGUUACUCGUGUCGUGUUUUUUAACCAAUCCGUAAUAGUUUAAUUCAAUUUAAGAUUUGAUUUUGAUAUUUCCAUUGAAGAAUUAUCCUAGUGUUAGUUUUGGUUCUUUUAAGAAAAGAACAAUCUAUAUUUAUACAGCCAAUAGUAGCCAGUAUUCUAGUAUGAAUACUGAUAAUAAUUUGUUCUAUUAAAAGUUUAUACGUGAAGAUUAAGGAUCCUCUUGACACAUCCGUACACAAUCAUCAUCCCCUAUUGCUGGUUACUACCGUGUGUUCUGUGAACAACUUUAAUCACAAAGUUUCUUAAAUCAUCAAAACCAUCGAACCGAGAUCUGGAUAAUUACGAUGACAACCAUAUUCAAUCCUGGUUAAAACUACUACACACAUAGAAUACUUCGACAAUGUUUUUUCGUAUCGAAAGAAAGCUUCAAAAUAUAAACGAAUAAAAUACAGCACAAUUAAACAUUAGGUGCACCAAUGAAAAGUGUCAUCCGUCCGUCCUUGUUCGAAAUCGCAACGUGCCUUACUUUCGACCAUCACCAGCCUGGUCACGAGAUGAUUCACUUUGCGAAAAACAGCCUGUUUAAUUUUAAUUAUGAUUAUUUUUAUUUUCCUGUUUUCUUUUUAUUUUUGGAAACUACCUUGAAUAAGAAGAAGAAGAAGAAAUGACAAUAAUAAUAAGGAACAAGAGGAAAGGAUUGUGAUUGCUGUUCUAAUUUUACAUUGAUUAUGCGAAACGUUGCAUAGUUUUCCAUUUGAAUACCAAGAGGAAAAAGGAACGUAUCGAUGAAUAAAACCUUCAAUUCUAUUGUUCCUACGUAAUGGGGGAAAAUUCAACACGAACACAUCACUCGAUCGAAGAAUUUUUAACGAUGUGUGGAUGAAUUCUAUCGAAAGUUUGUUUGUUUUUUUUUUUCUUUUUUUUUUUUCUCUAUCAUUGGUAUUCAAGAUGAUUAAUUCAAUUGUGUGAUCACGUUACCAGCUCCUAUUCCUCUCAAUUCUUACAAUCCUUCAUCUGAUUACUGUCGAUGGACACUAUUUUCAUAAUUUGUCAUAUUUAUUAAUGUUAAAACAAACUUUUUUUUGUUAUCUUUAAACAAAAAAUUGU
Molecule: unclassified non-coding RNA, 1504 nt
Filed under: Polistes dominula (European paper wasp)
Lineage: Eukaryota; Metazoa; Arthropoda; Insecta; Hymenoptera; Vespidae
Description: spermidine synthase, transcript variant X1
Source: RNAcentral